GAUGAACGCUGGCGGCGUGCCUAAUACAUGCAAGUCGAGCGAACAGACGAGGAGCUUGCUUCUCUGACGUUAGCGGCGGACGGGUGAGUAACACGUGGAUAACCUACCUAUAAGACUGGGAUAACUUCGGGAAACCGGAGCUAAUACCGGAUAAUAUUUUGAACCGCAUGGUUCAAUAGUGAAAGACGGUUUUGCUGUCACUUAUAGAUGGAUCCGCUCCGCAUUAGCUAGUUGGUAAGGUAACGGCUUACCAAGGCAACGAUGCGUAACCGACCUGAGAGGGUGAUAGGCCACACUGGAGCUGAGACACGGUCAAGACUCCUAAGGGAGGCAGCAGUAGGGAAUCUGCCGCAAUGGGCGAAAGCCUGACGGAGCAACGCCGAGUGAGAGAUGAAGGUCUUCGGAUCGGAAAACUCUGUUAUUAGGGAAGAACAUAUGUGUAAGUAACUGUGCACAUCUUGACGGUACCUAAUCAGAAAGCCACGGCUAACUACGUG
Molecule: ribosomal RNA, 497 nt
Filed under: uncultured bacterium
Lineage: Bacteria
Description: partial 16S ribosomal RNA
Rfam family: Bacterial small subunit ribosomal RNA
Source: RNAcentral